This 68-nucleotide transfer RNA is filed under the name Marmota monax (woodchuck). RNAcentral's name for it is "tRNA.Ala". The stretch from base 5 to 65 matches the Rfam family "tRNA", at positions 6 to 65 of the family's 71-position model. Rfam says of the family: Transfer RNA (tRNA) molecules are approximately 80 nucleotides in length. Their secondary structure includes four short double-helical elements and three loops (D, anti-codon, and T loops). The record is from RNAcentral. Lineage: Eukaryota; Metazoa; Chordata; Mammalia; Rodentia; Sciuridae.
GGCCUGUAGCUCAGUGGCAGAGCGCUUGCCUAGCAUGCAUGAGACACUGGGUUUGAUCCUCAGCACCA